GUUUAUUUCAGUUCAUAAUAACGUCAAAAUAAAAUGCUGGCGACUGUCUGAUGAGUCUAAAGGAAGCCUUGGACCUGGUUACAUAAAUUGAAUUGAGCUUGCCAAGGUGACCUUCAAAACCUUCUUGGACGUAUGAGGAGUGACAUGUGAUGACCUCAAACCACAAGUAAUUCUAAUACAACUUUACUCACAGAAAAUCUUUUGGGAAGGUACCAGGACUUUAACUGAGCUUAAUGCAAGACUACAGACAUUGAGGACAUUGGAAAACAUGCAAACUGUUUGGAAUUCAAGGACAGAAGUUUUUCCCACAGUCUUCAUUCAGCUGUGUGUCCUGAAUUCACACCCAGGGUCCCCCCUGCAGAGCAGCACGAGGCCAGCUGUGCCUUCAGCUGGGAUUUUUGCUUUUGCUUUCUGAAGUACCAAUACCAGAGCCUUCCUGCUCAGCCCUUGGCAGUUCCUCCUUUCAAGGCCAUUUCUGCUCUUCCUCUGAUGUUUCUGCCAGCACCAGGUGGGUCAGAGGACCAUUGCUCUAUCCAGUUUCUGAAGAGGAUGCCAGUGUUGUUAGUGACCUGUGUCUAGUCCAGAAUCCUUUUUAUCUGCACCCCUGGACAAAGCUUUAGUCACAGCCUCAUGGAAAAUAAAUGCAGCCAUUUUACAUGGAGAUUCUCUGAU
RNAcentral lists this long non-coding RNA (672 nucleotides) under Manacus vitellinus (golden-collared manakin). Its description in RNAcentral is "lncRNA (ENSMVIG00005005346.1)". Lineage: Eukaryota; Metazoa; Chordata; Aves; Passeriformes; Pipridae. The record is from RNAcentral.